UGAGCUCAGAUACUGUUCUUGAUCUAAGAGUAAAUAUAGCCGAGCUUGUGCAAGAUACUUCACAACUUUAUGCUGUAAAGUGUGUUUGCUUUAAAAUAGGUCUAAGUCCUUCAUUCAAUACACAUACUGUUCUCUGCUUUCAACACUUCUUUAUGCAGAUCAAAUUAGGUCAAGUACUUCCUUCCUUUCUUCACAUGCAAGACCAUCGUUUUACAGACAAACUUUUCUGUCAC
Molecule: long non-coding RNA, 233 nt
Filed under: Vigna radiata
Lineage: Eukaryota; Viridiplantae; Streptophyta; Magnoliopsida; Fabales; Fabaceae
Description: long non-coding RNA (VRAD_LNC001355)
Source: RNAcentral